ACGAACGCUGGCGGCGUGCUUAACACAUGCAAGUCGAACGGAAAGGCCCUGCUUUUGUGGGGUGCUCGAGUGGCGAACGGGUUAGUAACACGUGAGUAACCUGCCCUUGACUUUGGGAUAACUUCAGGAAACUGGGGCUAAUACCGGAUAGGAGCUCCUGCUGCAUGGUGGGGGUUGGAAAGUUUCGGCGGUUGGGGAUGGACUCGCGGCUUAUCAGCUUGUUGGUGGGGUAGUGGCUUACCAAGGCUUUGACGGGUAGCCGGCCUGAGAGGGUGACCGGCCACAUUGGGACUGAGAUACGGCCCAGACUCCUACGGGAGGCAGCAGUGGGGAAUAUUGCACAAUGGGCGGAAGCCUGAUACAGCAACGCCGCGUGCGGGAUGACGGCCUUCGGGUUGUAAACCGCUUUCGCCUGUGACGAAGCGUGAGUGACGGUAAUGGGUAAAGAAGCACCGGCUAACUACGUG
This 467-nucleotide ribosomal RNA is filed under the name uncultured bacterium. RNAcentral's name for it is "partial 16S ribosomal RNA". It matches the Rfam family "Bacterial small subunit ribosomal RNA", at positions 29 to 507 of the family's 1533-position model. The record is from RNAcentral.